This 200-nucleotide ribosomal RNA is filed under the name uncultured bacterium. Its description in RNAcentral is "partial 16S ribosomal RNA". It matches the Rfam family "Bacterial small subunit ribosomal RNA", at positions 524 to 723 of the family's 1533-position model. The record is from RNAcentral.
UACGUAGGGUGCAAGCGUUAAUCGGAAUUACUGGGCGUAAAGCGUGCGCAGGCGGUGAUGUAAGACAGGUGUGAAAUCCCCGGGCUUAACCUGGGAACUGCAUUUGUGACUGCAUCGCUGGAGUGCGGCAGAGGGGGAUGGAAUUCCGCGUGUAGCAGUGAAAUGCGUAGAUAUGCGGAGGAACACCGAUGGCGAAGGCA